GAGGGCAUGGCUCCAUGGUAGAGUGUAUGCUUAGCAUGCAUGAGGUCCUGGGUUCAAUCCUCAGCACCUCCA
Molecule: transfer RNA, 72 nt
Organism: Camelus ferus (Wild Bactrian camel)
Lineage: Eukaryota; Metazoa; Chordata; Mammalia; Artiodactyla; Camelidae
Rfam family: tRNA
About the family: Transfer RNA (tRNA) molecules are approximately 80 nucleotides in length. Their secondary structure includes four short double-helical elements and three loops (D, anti-codon, and T loops). Further hydrogen bonds mediate the characteristic L-shaped molecular structure. tRNAs have two regions of fundamental functional importance: the anti-codon, which is responsible for specific mRNA codon recognition, and the 3' end, to which the tRNAs corresponding amino acid is attached (by aminoacyl-tRNA synthetases). tRNAs cope with the degeneracy of the genetic code in two manners: having more than one tRNA (with a specific anti-codon) for a particular amino acid; and 'wobble' base-pairing, i.e. permitting non-standard base-pairing at the 3rd anti-codon position.
Source: Rfam